RNAcentral lists this ribosomal RNA (243 nucleotides) under uncultured bacterium. RNAcentral describes it as "partial 16S ribosomal RNA". It matches the Rfam family "Bacterial small subunit ribosomal RNA", at positions 113 to 354 of the family's 1533-position model. The record is from RNAcentral.
CAACGUGAGCAACCUGCCUUUCANAGGGGGAUAACAGUUGGAAACGACUGCUAAUACCGCAUAACGCUGCGAUGGGGCAUCCCGAUGCAGCCAAAGGAGCAAUCCGCUGGAAGAUGGGCUCGCGGCCGAUUAGCUAGUUGGUGGGGCAACGGCCCACCAAGGCGACGAUCGGUAGCCGGACUGAGAGGUUGAUCGGCCACAUUGGGACUGAGACACGGCCCAGACUCCUACGGGAGGCAGCAG